Molecule: long non-coding RNA, 353 nt
Filed under: Prunus persica (peach)
Lineage: Eukaryota; Viridiplantae; Streptophyta; Magnoliopsida; Rosales; Rosaceae
Description: long non-coding RNA (PPER_LNC002949)
Source: RNAcentral
ACCGAGAAGCUGAUGAACCAGAUCAUGGAGCUGAAAUUUACGUCCAAGUCGCUUCAGCGCCAAUCCAGAAAGUGCGAGAAAGAGGAGAAAGCCGAGAAGCUGAAGAUCAAGAAGGCCAUGGAAAAAGGCAACGUUGACGGCGCUCGGAUCUACGCCGAGAACGCGAUCCGAAAGCGCACAGAGCAAAUGAACUAUCUCCGGCUCGCUUCCCGGCUCGACGCUGUGGUGGCUCGGCUCGACACCCAGGCCAAGAUGUUCACCAUCAAUAAGUCCAUGGGAAAUAUUGUCAAAUCACUCGAAUCGUCGCUGGCCACCGGAAACCUCCAGAAGAUGUCGGAGACCAUGGACUCGUU